This 506-nucleotide ribosomal RNA is filed under the name uncultured bacterium. Its description in RNAcentral is "partial 16S ribosomal RNA". It matches the Rfam family "Bacterial small subunit ribosomal RNA", at positions 29 to 523 of the family's 1533-position model. The record is from RNAcentral.
AGUGAACGCUGGCGGUAGGCCUAACACAUGCAAGUCGAACGGCAGCACAGGAGAGCUUGCUCUCUGGGUGGCGAGUGGCGGACGGGUGAGGAAUACAUCGGAAUCUACUUUUUCGUGGGGGAUAACGUAGGGAAACUUACGCUAAUACCGCAUACGACCUACGGGUGAAAGCAGGGGAUCUCCGGACCUUGCGCGAUUGAAUGAGCCGAUGUCGGAUUAGCUAGUUGGCGGGGUAAAGGCCCACCAAGGCGACGAUCCGUAGCUGGGCUGAGAGGAUGAUCAGCCACACUGGAACUGAGACACGGUCCAGGUUCCUACGGGAGGCAGCAGUGGGGAAUAUUGGACAAUGGGCGCAAGCCUGAUCCAGCCAUACCGCGUGGGUGAAGAAGGCCUUCGGGUUGUAAAGCCCUUUUGUUGGGAAAGAAAUCCAGCUGGUUAAUACCCGGUUGGGAUGACGGUACCCAAAGAAUAAGCACCGGCUAACUUCGUGCCAGCCGCCGCGGUAA